AAAGGUAAGCUACUAAGAGCGAAUGGUGGAUGCCUUGACUGGUAAAGGCGAUGAAGGACGUACUAGACUGCGAUAAGCUACGGGGAGCUGUCAAGAAGCUUUGAUCCGUAGAUUUCCGAAUGGGGCAACCCAAUGUAUAGAGAUAUACAUUACCUAUAUAGGAGCGAACGAGGGGAAUUGAAACAUCUUAGUACCCUCAGGAAAAGAAAUCAAUAGAGAUUGCGUCAGUAGCGGCGAGCGAAAGCGUAAGAGGGCAAACCCAGUGCUUGCACUGGGGGUUGUAGGACUGCAAUGUGCAAGAGGUGAGUUUAGCAGAACAUUCUGGAAAGUAUAGCCAUAGAGGGUGAUAGUCCCGUAUGCGAAAAACAAACCUUAGCUAGCAGUAUCCUGAGUAGGGCGGGACACGAGAAAUCCUGUCUGAAGCUGGGUCGACCACGAUCCAACCCUAAAUACUAAUACCAGAUCGAUAGUGCACAAGUACCGUGAGGGAAAGGUGAAAAGAACUGAGGUGAUCAGAGUGAAAUAGAACCUGAAACCAUUUGCUUACAAUCAUUCAGAGCACUAUGUAGCAAUACAGUGUGAUGGACUGCCUUUUGCAU
This 599-nucleotide ribosomal RNA is filed under the name Campylobacter coli. RNAcentral describes it as "partial 23S ribosomal RNA". It matches the Rfam family "Bacterial large subunit ribosomal RNA", at positions 1 to 613 of the family's 2925-position model. The record is from RNAcentral. Lineage: Bacteria; Pseudomonadati; Campylobacterota; Epsilonproteobacteria; Campylobacterales; Campylobacteraceae.